This is a non-coding RNA of Dentipellis sp. KUC8613, 85 nucleotides long. The record is from the annotation of a GenBank genome assembly. Lineage: Eukaryota; Fungi; Basidiomycota; Agaricomycetes; Russulales; Hericiaceae.
GGCCGCCUGGCGAAAUGGCAUCGCGUCUGACUACGAUUCAAAGUCGCACAUCAGGAGAUUGCAGGUUCGACCCCUGCGGUGGUCA